RNAcentral lists this transfer RNA (75 nucleotides) under Marmota monax (woodchuck). RNAcentral's name for it is "tRNA.Ala". Lineage: Eukaryota; Metazoa; Chordata; Mammalia; Rodentia; Sciuridae. The record is from RNAcentral.
UUGGGGUUGAGGCUCAGUGGUAGAGCACUUGCCUAGCACAUGUGAGGCGCUGGGUUCGAUCUUCAGCACCACAUA